CGCUAUGACGUCAACCAUCACGCGAACCAUUCCCGUUUGACGUCGCCAUUGCUGAAUUGGAUCAAGAGAAUACUGGCUACUGGAAGAAGUCACUAAGCAACAGAUUCAGGAAGUGUCAUGAACGUGAUAAUCCAUUAGGACAAAUGGAAAGGGGGGGGGGGGGAAGGACGACACCCAAACCAGACAAAGCUGCAGGCAAACACAUGUAUGGCAUAAAGAAAGUACCUUCCUGCAUCCCCAGAAGGUGAGGAUGAAGAAAUGAUCAAUGCACACAUCAAGAUGCUUCAGAAUGAAUCCAGAAAAACAAGACAGGACAGCAUGAUGAUAGACAAUCUAAUGUCACUAACUUUAGCCAAUAGGCGCAAGGGUAUCAUCAACAGCAACUGGACUGAAUCCUACUUGAAGGAUAUGUACCCUUACCUUUUCCAUGAAGAUGAGAGUUUGAGAGACUGUCAGAGGACCCAAUUAAGCAGAAGUUGGAAGCAGGACAUUUGAAUAUGCUGAUCCAUUACUAGAGAUAUGUAAGACUCCCAAGCAAGGUUUGGAGCUCAAAAACCUGAUCUUGGCUGCAGCAGCAGAAAAUGAGGACACCAGGAAAAUGAUCAAAUCAUGUGGAGCACUUCUGUUGAUUCCUACUAUUUUGGAAGAGAAGGCAUUGCUUUGUCAGCAUAGCCAGGAUAAAAAACGGAACAAUCGCCAAAAUCAUCUACAAAAGUAAGCCCGACAGUGCAGGUCUGACUCUUGAGCAGUGAUCAUGAAAAAAUCACAGAAAUUCUGCAAUCAUCAUUCUAUAUUACAGCAGAGAAUGAAGUCAUCUGCGAGACAACCACCUACCUCAUGACAGCAGUCUCUCUGCUUAUGUCGGCCCAUUAUGUAUUCAACUUAUCAUACAACCCCGAGAUGGGUACCACCCUCACAUUCAUUCAGAAGAUUCUGAUGCACAUAGAUUCCACAUCUCAACCCCCAUCCAAGGUCGUAAGAUGCCUGUAUGACUUAAAUGCUGUCCGAAAUGCUGAUGCCAGUAGUUCUUCAGUUUAAGAGAAAUUAAUUAAUUUGGUGAUGCUACUGCAACACAGUUGGUCACACUUUCUCUACGUGCAAUCACCUUAGGUGUUGUAUCUGUCUUUUAUGUGCAAAAUUGAUUGAAAUAGAUACUACAGGUUGACCGUGAAUUUAGACAUCCAGUAUGUGCAUUUUUUCGCUUUGCUUCAGUACAAAUUUCAGUGGCCCUUGAAUUGGAAAUCUUUUCAUAUCCCAAGAAUUACGUAUAAAUGCUUUAUGAAAUUUUUGUCACAGAUAGAAUAGGAUUUUGCACACACAAAAAAGAAAAGAUAUUUGGACCCAAAAUUUUUACAGAUCAGAUGGUCAACAACAAUUUUUUUUUGGGGGGGGGGGAUUGAAGACUAAGCUAUUAAUAUUCUACUUUUUGAUUUUUGUACACAUUUUGUUACUGUACAUGUAAAUAAGUUUAACACCACAAAUUUGAAGAAUUACAUUUUAAGUGUUCUCUAUGGAAUUUUAGUUAGAUUGUAAGUUUCAAGCAACUUAGUAUUUCAUUCCAAGAAUUAUACACAGGCACUUUUCAAGAUUAUGGCUUCCAACAUCAGUACAUGAGGGAAACAAUUUUCAAUGUUUACAUUUAUUGAGAUGGUAAGCACAUGCAACUGAUUUGAAACUAAUUUUAUAAAUUUGACAAAGCACUGUCAUUAAUUUUAAGCCAAUCUGCACACUUCCAAGCAUGUCAAAGGUAUUGCUUAAUAGCCCAAUCACCACAAUCAUCAUUCCCUUUAAAAACAAAUUGCACAAAAAUAUUUGAAUAGAAAAGGUCAGUAUCUGCUUGAAGAUACAGCUGCUAUAGGAGGCAGAUUUUGCAGAAAAUACCAGGGCUUCACAGUGAGAGAAAUGGUAUUAAGAAUGGGGGAUUCUGCGAAGUGCUUUAAAAAUUAAUUGAGAAUCCAAAUAGCACAUUUUAAAAUUGUCUUUUGUACUAUUAGUAGUAAAAUAUUUUUGUGGGUUUUCCUACAGCAAAAAUUGACAUUUGGGGGAUUCCCAUGUCAUGCAUGGGGAUUCUUAAAUUUAAAUUGUGUUUGUACGUAUGCUUAAGUUUGAAAAAAUUCUGAAUUUUAGAAGGUUUCUGGAAAGCUGUUAUUGGUUUUGAAGUACCAAAACAAUGGUAUUGUGUUGUAAGCAGAGUAUUAGGAAUUCGUGUUUGAAGGUUUCACUUAUAGUGAAUUGUUUCAAAUUCAGUAAAUUAUGAAUUUCAGUGAAUUAUGAAUUGUUUCAGUUUCAGUGAAGAAAUGAUACU
RNAcentral lists this long non-coding RNA (2305 nucleotides) under Lytechinus variegatus (green sea urchin). Its description in RNAcentral is "uncharacterized LOC121415278". The record is from RNAcentral. Lineage: Eukaryota; Metazoa; Echinodermata; Echinoidea; Temnopleuroida; Toxopneustidae.